This 391-nucleotide long non-coding RNA is filed under the name Setaria viridis. RNAcentral's name for it is "long non-coding RNA (SVIR_LNC009793)". Lineage: Eukaryota; Viridiplantae; Streptophyta; Magnoliopsida; Poales; Poaceae. The record is from RNAcentral.
AUAUAUGAACACACCUCAGCCUCGAAAGGCAUGAAGCAGAUGCCGCAGUCGACGGAGAGCUAUCAACAGCCCAACAACCAUCCAAAAUGAGCCAAGCUAUCAAUUCAUCCCUGUGAGGCAACAUCUCGAUUCUGUGGCUAUUGGCUGAGGCAUUUGUCCUAGAGUAGACCAAUGGUGCAGUGGGGUUAAGCUCCUUUGAACAUGAAUAAGUCAGAAUUCUUGCUCUUUCUCUUUUUCUUUGCUCCUUUUUUUUGUUUACAAGGGACUCGGUUGAUCCACGAGACCUCUCACCAACUCCUCCACCACUUUCCAAGGAAAAUUAGCUUAUCACAUAGUAGUGUCUUUGAAACAUGUUUAGGGCACAUCACAUUACGUUUAGCAUCUUCUGCAC